GUUCGUGACUAACCACGUAGUUAUGUCAGUUUUAUUGUCACGUAUAAUAGCCAGGUUCUUCUCACGCAAACUGCCUGUGUGAACAGCUUGACGUUUGUCUGCUGUUCAUAUAAAAAAGCAUUUUAAGUAAAAUUAACAAGAUGUUAAUUUUUACAUACAACAUAAGGGCUAGAAAUUUUGUCUGUUUAAUUGAGGUUUUAAUGUAUGUUGAUGUAUUAUAAAAUAAAUAAAAUAGCAUAUUUCUUAUGUUUCAGUAAAUCUGUUGGGGAAGAGCAUGAGGUAACAAACAAACAAGAACCUCCUCCUCAAACUGAUCAUCAUUCUAAAACUGUGCCUCCAACUCCAGCCGGAGAUAAAUGUUAUAUUGAACCACCCAGGAGUUUAUCACAACCUACUGAUUUGUCACAUAAAUUUAGAUUAAAGGGAACUAGAGUAGUUCGACCAGAAACUGAUCAAUCUGGAGAACCUAAACAAGAAACAAGUAUCAGUGACGCCCCACCGAUAUCUGCUCUUUCUUCAGUUCUUGAAACCGACGUCAGCACACCAUCUAGUGAGGGUGAAGAGCGUACUUCAGAUGUGUAGGAAUCAGUCUUAUUUCUAAGAUAUUGGAUUCUAUUUUUGUACAGGACGUCCAGUCCAGAUCAAGACUCAUUUCUGAGAAGACUGAAGUCUUCCUACCCAUCCUAGAUCCCAAUAGACAUACAUCUGAGUUCAUCUUGGGUUUUGCUGCAUGCUAUCAAAACAUGAAGUGCUUCCCAAAAGAAAGCAAGCAUGCAUUAUCAUCCCACUAUAAUAUGGUGGAAUUGAAAAAAUUCCAUGGAUCCUGGAGUUCACAAAAUGUUUAUUCAUAAAUCAUGCUUUUUUUCUACUCAGGGAGAUAGAACAAAAAUGCCCUUUGCCUUCCUCUCCUUGCUAAUAAUUAACUUUCAAUCCUAGCUUGCUGCUUGGUAAUGAUGAAAGUUUUCUGUGAUAAAAAUGAUGUCAGAAAAUGUGAGCACUCCCUUUCCUUACCAUUUCAUUCCAUUUUAUUUCUUUAUUCCGACAAUGUCGGUGCGGUGCUACAUAGAAAAGGAGUGAUAAUGCAGAGACACUUCCAGGGUCUGUUGCCUCCCAUCACUCUAAUAUAGAGGAGAAAUGUGCAAUCAUAACAAAUGAAAAUUACCAUUCUUAAACAUUGUGCAGUCAAUCCAUCCUAUGCCUAACUGUUUAGACAGUUUUAGAUAUUUAUGAAUGUAGUUCUUCAAUUUCUAUUAAUGAUACUAAGAUCUUGUUUGUUUAUUUUUUUUUGUGUUAUGUUUUCUUUUUGUUUAAAGCUUAAACAUAUGGAAGAGAAUUAGAAAUUUAGAUGCAAAGUAAAUUACUCAAGAAAAUAGGGCCAGUACUGCUAGAAAGCCUGUGCAUGCCUUAUCUGAGCACUCUUAUUGUAUUUGGCCUGUGAAAAGAAACUGUCACCAUUUAUAUUUAAGGAUUCAGCCGGUAGGGGGCUGAUAUUAUGAAGGGUCUUUUUUCAAAAAUGAUAAGAAAUAUUGCAUAUGAUGAUAUAUAUCUAUAUAUACUUUCAUUUCUUGGCAAUAUUUACUGCUCUAACCUAUCACAUUAGACUAACGUCCAAGAAUAAAUCAAGUUAUGAUUUUUCUUUCUAUAUGUUAAUAAGGGCAAAAUACAAACUUUGGACAGUCAGCAAAUGUGAUAAUUUCCAUUAUUUAAUUUAUUAGCAAUAUUGGGAAUUUUGCUCAUUGCAGUGACAUAUCACAAGAGUGUAUCAAUCCCAUAAAUAAGGAUAUCUUACUGUGAUUUUUUUAUGCAGACAUUUCUGUGACUGCAUAGCAGUUCCUAUUGAUGUUUUGCAUGAUAUCUCAAUGUUCAAAUCGAGCAAUAGAAGGGAUCAAUGCUAUGUAUAUAUAUGGAAUUGGUAUGAUGAUGAAUGUAAUUAAUUGGAUAUGUAUCAAAAAAUACAUAAAUUGGAGUUUAAGAUGAAUUAAUUUAUACAAUGUUCUUUGUAUUAUAUUAUAAACAUUACUUGUACAUAUUGUAAAUGUCAAAGUAUCAAAAAUGAUACCAAUUCAUUGCUGUUUGCCAUAUUCACGCAGGACAUCCUGAGAUGUGAAGUGCAGUCAACUCUUGAUUAUCAAAGAUAUUGUAGAGAGUAAGAUCUGAUGAAUUACUAGCAGCAUUGAAAAAACUCGUGUAUUGAAAUAAAUGAAGAGAGGUCUGAAAAAUUAAUUAUUGAAUAUUAAAAUUACAAACUUAUAGCAGUUUCAAAAUGGCACUGUAGACCAUUUUAUGAAUAUUGUUUGUAAAAAUUAGUUAUUUCGACUUUCGACAAUGCACUUGUCAAUAAUUAAGAGUUGACUGUAUAGUGCAAUUUUAACGAAGGGAUGAUAAAUGAAAAAUUGUCAUUUCCACAACUAAAAUCCUAAAGCACAUUUUAAGGAUCAAAUAUUUUGUCACUUGUUAUUUUGAAUCAAAUUUCAGUUAUACAUAUAAUUUAAUGAAGUUUUACAGGUUUUGUUAAUCAGAUAUUGUAUAGAACAUUUUCAAUUUCAUCUUCAAUGAAGAGAUUUAAAAUUCUCAUCUUUGUAAUUUUGCUAAUAAAGCCCUUAUAUUAGUAGCUUUUCCAAUUAAAAUAGACACUUAUUUAUUAAUAUUGAUGUCGUUGCUCCCUGCCGGCAGCAAAUGGACCGUUUGACAAAACGAGAUGAUUUUAAUUGUUAUGCACAAAGAUUUUAGCUAAUCAUCUAAGCCUUUCUUGUACAUAACUUAUACAUGCAUCAUAUGCUCUUUAUUCCCUGCCAAAUUUUUUACACAUUUUACCAUUUCUACAAAAACAUAAUUGAUUUGUAUUAAUUCGCAUAAAUUUUUAUUUCAUUACUUUCUUUUUUCCUCAGUUAUGACAAAGUAAAAAACUUUGUCCCUUAUAUUAAUAGUUACAGCUGCAUGAUUAAAGUUAUCAUAUAUACCCAACUAAAUAUUAAUACAAUAAAUACAUCUAUGCAAUGUU
Long non-coding RNA from Centruroides sculpturatus (bark scorpion), 3001 nucleotides. RefSeq lists it as uncharacterized. Lineage: Eukaryota; Metazoa; Arthropoda; Arachnida; Scorpiones; Buthidae. The record is from RefSeq and is a predicted model, not a curated record. The transcript has 2 exons.